GAAUUCGCCCUUAGAGUUUGAUCCUGGCUCAGGACGAACGCUGGCGGCAUGCCUAACACAUGCAAGUCGAACGGACAUAAUUAGACUAUAGCAAUAUAGAAUAAAUAUGUUAGUGGCGAACGGGUGAGUAACACGUGAGCAACCUGCCCCAUACAACGGGAUAACACCUGGAAACGGGUGCUAAUACGGUAUAAGACCACACUAUGGAAUCAUAGAGUGGUAAAAGCGAAUUAGCGGUAUGGGAUGGGCUCGCGUCCAAUUAGCUAGUUGGUGAGGUAAUGGCCCACCAAGGCGACGAUUGGUAGCCGACUUGAGAGGGUGAUCGGCCACACUGGAACUGAGACACGGUCCAGACUCCUACGGGAGGCAGCAGUGGGGAAUAUUGGGCAAUGGAGGAAACUCUUACCCAGCAAUGCCGCGUGAGUGAAGAAGGUCUUCGGAUUGUAAAGCUCUUUGAUUGGGGACGAAGAAAAUGACGGUACCCAAGGAACAAGCCCCGGCUAACUAUGUGCCAGCAGCCGCGGUAAUACAUAGGGGGCGAGCGUUGUCCGGAAUUACUGGGCGUAAAGGGUGUGUAGGCGGUUUUUUAAGUUAGAAGUGUAAUACCUAGAGCUCAACUCAGGUGCUGCUUCUAAGACUGGAAGACUAGAGUAUGGGAGAGGAUAAUGGAAUUCCUAGUGUAGCGGUGGAAUGCAUAGAUAUUAGGAGGAACACCAGAGGCGAAAGCGAUUAUCUGGACCAUAACUGACGCUGAGGCACGAAAGCGUGGGGAGCGAACAAGAUUAGAUACCCUGGUAGUCCACGCCGUAAACG
Molecule: ribosomal RNA, 813 nt
Filed under: uncultured bacterium
Lineage: Bacteria
Description: bacterial SSU rRNA
Rfam family: Bacterial small subunit ribosomal RNA
Source: RNAcentral